UACAGGGGGGGCAAGCGUUGUUCGGAAUUACUGGGCGUAAAGGGCCAGUAGGCGGCCAACUAAGUCACACGUGAAAUCCCCAGGCUUAACCUGGGAACUGCGUGUGAUACUGGAUGGCUUGAAUUCGGGAGAGGGAUGCAGAAUUCCAGGUGUAGCGGUGAAAUGUGUAGAUAUCAGGAGGAACACCAAUUGCGAAGGCAGCUCGCUGGAACGUAACUGACGCUGAGACGCGAAAGCGUGGGGAGCAAACAGG
Molecule: ribosomal RNA, 253 nt
Filed under: uncultured bacterium
Lineage: Bacteria
Description: partial 16S ribosomal RNA
Rfam family: Bacterial small subunit ribosomal RNA
Source: RNAcentral